CAGGUGACAUAGGUGACACAGGUGACACAGGUGGCACAGGUGGCACAGGUGACACAGGUGGCACAGGUGACACAGGUGACACAGGUGACACAGGUG
This is a long non-coding RNA of Serinus canaria (Common canary), 96 nucleotides long. RefSeq lists it as uncharacterized. Lineage: Eukaryota; Metazoa; Chordata; Aves; Passeriformes; Fringillidae. The transcript is spliced from 3 exons. The record is from RefSeq and is a predicted model, not a curated record.